This 28-nucleotide small RNA is filed under the name Bombyx mori (domestic silkworm). RNAcentral describes it as "piRNA piR-bmo-1962745". The record is from RNAcentral. Lineage: Eukaryota; Metazoa; Arthropoda; Insecta; Lepidoptera; Bombycidae.
UGCAUGACUUUCCGAAUACAAGUUCGUA